UUAUGGCCAUAUCACGUUGAAACAUUGGUUCCCAUACGAUCACCGAAGUUAAGCAACGUCGAACCUAGAAGGGUGACCGCUUGUGAAUACCAGGUGCUGUAA
Non-coding RNA from Acanthosepion pharaonis, 102 nucleotides. The record is from the annotation of a GenBank genome assembly. NCBI's taxonomy places the organism in Eukaryota, Metazoa, Mollusca, Cephalopoda, Sepiida, Sepiidae.